This is a long non-coding RNA of Pseudophryne corroboree (corroboree frog), 1102 nucleotides long. RefSeq lists it as uncharacterized. The record is from RefSeq and is a predicted model, not a curated record. NCBI's taxonomy places the organism in Eukaryota, Metazoa, Chordata, Amphibia, Anura, Myobatrachidae. The transcript has 4 exons.
UGAGAUUCUCCGUGACGCCGCGGCCGGCGUCCCGUAUUGACGUCAUUUCACUGAACGGGUGCGGUGGACGCUGGGUACCACGGACGGUCUGGCGGGUAUAAAGGGCUCCCAGCGCGUUGCCAGGGGAACCAGUCAGCGUGAUUACGUCACUUCCGGCCGGGCUGUGAGCCGCGACCGGAAGUGCGGGAUGUGCGACGCCUGGGCACUCCGUGGUCCACGCAGCUGGGAGUCGUGAUUAUGGGGAUGUCUCCGGCUGCCGCAGAGGGAUCAUUUAUGAAGGCAAUAGACAAUAAGCCAGGUGCCAGGACUGCGCACAUCUGUCCCCCAUGAGGCUGGCACUCUGCGCCAGAGAACGCAGAACAAAGGACAGGAGAGAGACCUCACAUGUUGUACUCACUUUGGCAGAUGGUCGGGAGUAAUAACCUUAUGUUGUAUUUGCUUUAAAUGUUUAAUGAAACAUACAGUCCUAUUUGUACAUACUGUACCAACACAUAUUGUAGAAUUAAGGGCUUGAUGCCAAUUUGUACGCAAAAGCCUAUGCAGCUCGGUGUGUGCGCAGUGUGGGCGCAAUUAAUUCGAUAAUCAAUACCGACAUUGCGGACAAAUCAGAAUCAGGCCUAAGAGCUGUCAUACGGUUAUAUCAGGUACGGUAGCUAAUAUACAGCAUCACCCCCAGAUUUCAAUGGAACAUAUGCUGAUCACAUAUGUUGGCCUUGUAUUACCUAUUAGAGUCAUUCCUGACGGGUACAACACACAACCACACAAAGCCUUUAUUCCGCUCUUACACAAUUCUAAUUACAAUUGAAACAAAGUGACAUUUUCAUAAAAUACAGUAAGAAUUGUUAAUUUUUUUUAGCUCUGCAAUAUGAAUAUCUUAUUGCUGCAAUUUCUUUACUAACGCUUACUCAGGCAGCUGAGCGAUUAUAAUGGCCUGAAGCUGACGGGGUUAACUUACCACUGUGUCGGGCCAGUCUCAGCCGACAGGCAGAAGCGCAAACCGGCUUUGCAUUUACUCAUAAGUGGGAUUUCACUUAGACUUGGAGGGAAAAAUAAAUGAAACAGUUAAUAUAUGAAAAUGAAACAGAUAAAAAAAAUAAUAAUA